AGUGAACGCUGGCGGUAGACCUAACACAUGCAAGUCGAACGGCAGCACAGUAAGAGCUUGCUCUUACGGGUGGCGAGUGGCGGACGGGUGAGGAAUACAUCGGAAUCUACUUUUUCGUGGGGGAUAACGUAGGGAAACUUACGCUAAUACCGCAUACGACCUACGGGUGAAAGCAGGGGAUCUUCGGACCUUGCGCGAUUGAAUGAGCCGAUGUCGGAUUAGCUAGUUGGCGGGGUAAAGGCCCACCAAGGCGACGAUCCGUAGCUGGUCUGAGAGGAUGAUCAGCCACACUGGAACUGAGACACGGUCCAGACUCCUACGGGAGGCAGCAGUGGGGAAUAUUGGACAAUGGGCGCAAGCCUGAUCCAGCCAUAUCGCGUGGGUGAAGAAGGCCUUCGGGUUGUAAAGCCCUUUUGUUGGGAAAGAAAAGCAGCAGGUUAAUACCCCGCUGUUCUGACGGUACCCAAAGAAUAAGCACCGGCUAACUUCGUG
RNAcentral lists this ribosomal RNA (492 nucleotides) under uncultured bacterium. Its description in RNAcentral is "partial 16S ribosomal RNA". It matches the Rfam family "Bacterial small subunit ribosomal RNA", at positions 29 to 507 of the family's 1533-position model. The record is from RNAcentral.